Molecule: ribosomal RNA, 460 nt
Filed under: uncultured bacterium
Lineage: Bacteria
Description: partial 16S ribosomal RNA
Rfam family: Bacterial small subunit ribosomal RNA
Source: RNAcentral
CCUACGGGAGGCUGCAGUGAGGAAUAUUGGUCAAUGGACGAGAGUCUGAACCAGCCAAGUAGCGUGAAGGAUGACUGCACUAUGGGUUGUAAACUUCUUUUAUAUGGGAAUAAAAUGUUCCACGUGUGGGAUUUUGUAUGUACCAUAUGAAUAAGGAUCGGCUAACUCCGUGCCAGCAGCCGCGGUAAUACGGAGGAUCCGAGCGUUAUCCGGAUUUAUUGGGUUUAAAGGGAGCGUAGGUGGAUUGUUAAGUCAGUUGUGAAAGUUUGCGGCUCAACCGUAAAAUUGCAGUUGAAACUGGCAGUCUUGAGUACAGUAGAGGUGGGCGGAAUUCGUGGUGUAGCGGUGAAAUGCUUAGAUAUCACGAAGAACUCCGAUUGCGAAGGCAGUUCACUGGACUGCAACUGACACUGAGGCUCGAAAGUGUGGGUAUCAAACAGGAUUAGAUACCCGAGUAGUC